RNAcentral lists this ribosomal RNA (270 nucleotides) under uncultured prokaryote. RNAcentral describes it as "partial 16S ribosomal RNA". It matches the Rfam family "Bacterial small subunit ribosomal RNA", at positions 524 to 794 of the family's 1533-position model. The record is from RNAcentral.
CACGUAGGGGCGAGCGUUGUCCGGAAUUACUGGGCGUAAAGGGCGCGCAGGCGGUUACGUUAGUCUGCUGUGAAAAGCAUCGGCUUAACCGGUGUCUUGCGGCGGAUACUGCAUAGCUUGAGUACUGGAGAGGGAAGUGGAAUUCCCUGUGUAGCGGUGAAAUGCGUAGAUAUCGGGAGGAACACCGGUGGCGAAGGCGGCUUUCUGGCCAGUUACUGACGCUCAUGCGCGAGAGCUGGGUUAGCGAACCGGAUUAGAUACCCGGGUAGU